AUGAACGCUGGCGGCGUGCUUAACACAUGCAAGUCGAACGAAGCACUUUAUUUGAUUUCCUUCGGGACUGAUUAUUUUGUGACUGAGUGGCGGACGGGUGAGUAACGCGUGGGUAACCUGCCUUGUUCAGGGGGAUAACAGUUGGAAACGGCUGCUAAUACCGCAUAAGCGCACAGCAUCGCAUGAUGCAGUGUGAAAAACUCCGGUGGUAUAAGAUGGACCCGCGUUGGAUUAGCUAGUUGGUGAGGUAACGGCCCACCAAGGCGACGAUCCAUAGCCGACCUGAGAGGGUGACCGGCCACAUUGGGACUGAGACACGGCCCAAACUCCUACGGGAGGCAGCAGUGGGGAAUAUUGCACAAUGGGCGAAAGCCUGAUGCAGCGACGCCGCGUGAGCGAAGAAGUAUUUCGGUAUGUAAAGCUCUAUCAGCAGGGAAGAUAAUGACGGUACCUGACUAAGAAGCACCGGCUAAAUACGUG
Molecule: ribosomal RNA, 480 nt
Filed under: uncultured bacterium
Lineage: Bacteria
Description: partial 16S ribosomal RNA
Rfam family: Bacterial small subunit ribosomal RNA
Source: RNAcentral